UGUAGCAGGGUUGGGGACGCGGGGGCGGGAACGCGAGGGAAGCUUUGGCUUCCUUGAAAGCCCACUUAUGUAAGCGCGUUUCCCUUUUAACCCCAAGUGUGGGAUUUCAGCUGGGCUCAUCACAGCUGAUAUUUAUCUCAUCCUGGGCGGGCGCGGCCUUUCACAGCUGCUGUGGCCCAGACGGGGCGUGGUCCAGGGCUCUGGGGGUAUAAAUGUGAGAGCCCAGGAAAAGGUGUGGCCUGGGGUGUGGCCAGUGACAGUUUGGCGAGGCCAGAGACAAUGCUGUGGUGGCUCCGAGACAGAGGGAGAGAAACAGCUCCGCUCCCAAACAGCCGGGAGAAGUAAGGGGGUCUGCAGCCCCUCUCCCCACUACCCACGAGCCCUCUCUCCGGCCUGUGUGUUUUUUGAGGUAAGCCUCACUGAACGGCCCAGGCUGACCUCAGUGGCGUCAUCCUCCUGCCUCAGCUUCCCAAGAGCUGGGAUUACAGGCAUUCAGGGCGGUGCUCAGCGACUGAGGUGAGACUCAAGUCCUGUCCUCUGUGGAGACCGUGCUGCUGCCUGGAUGCCUGCUCCGGGAAGCUCCUCGCCCCCUCGCCCGCCCCUAGGCCCUCAGGAGACCCACAUUUAUCCAGGCCACCCUCGUCCUUACCCGGCCCGAGUCCAUGGCUUCCGCCAGCCCCUCGGGGCUCAGCUCCGAGGAACCUCCUGGCCUCUGGAUCCAAGCCGAUAGAUCCUUCUGAAAUGGGGCGGCGGCUGGCACCGUGAGGAACAGGCUUCGCGUGGACAGAACCAGCCCUGGUGCCCGAGGCUGAGGGAGACGCCGCCCUCUGUACGGAGGCCGGACCAGGCAAGUCACUGUGAGGAAACGGGUGCCCAAACAGGCAGGAGAGUCAGGGACAGCCACUGCUCCGCCGUUAGGGAGUCCCACAAGACGGCCAAGGUGAACAUACUGUAACAUCCAUGAAGAGGACCGUCCCUCACCCUUCUUCCCCAUGUGGGAUCCCGUUUCCCCGGGUCAGGCGCUGAAGAGUGUCACCCCACAUCAAGCAGCCUUUGCUCCUUUGUCAAAAAGCACACAAAAGCACACGUACACGUGUGCGGGCCAAACAGUCACAUGUGUAAACUAAAAGUAAAUGUUUUUAAAUGUCUGGCCGCAUGUAUGAGGGCUUCUGUCUUGGAUUUCUAUUCUAGUCCAUGCAGUAUUUUGGAAUAAAAUAGAGGAAUAUUGUA
Meriones unguiculatus (Mongolian gerbil) is the source of this 1230-nucleotide long non-coding RNA. RefSeq lists it as uncharacterized. The transcript is spliced from 2 exons. Lineage: Eukaryota; Metazoa; Chordata; Mammalia; Rodentia; Muridae. The record is from RefSeq and is a predicted model, not a curated record.